UCAGUAACACGUAGUCAACAUGCCAGGNGACGUGGAUACCUCGGGAAACUGAGGAUAAACCGCGAUAGGCCAUGAUUUCUGGAAUGGUUCAUGGCUGAAAUCUAUAUGGCCCCUGGAUUGGACUGCGGCCGAUCAGGCUGUUGGUGAGGUAAUGGCCCACCAAACCUGUAACCGGUACGGGCUCUGAGAGGAGGAGCCCGGAGAUGGGCACUGAGACAAGGGCCCAGGCCCUAUGGGGCGCAGCAGGCGCGAAAUCUCUGCAAUAGGCGAAAGCUUGACAGGGUUACUCUGAGUGGUUCCCGUUAAGGGGAUCUUUUUGGCACCUUUAAAAAUGGUGCAGAAUAAAGGGGUGGGCAAGUCUGGUGCCA
This 368-nucleotide ribosomal RNA is filed under the name unidentified archaeon. RNAcentral describes it as "bacterial SSU rRNA". It matches the Rfam family "Archaeal small subunit ribosomal RNA", at positions 90 to 460 of the family's 1478-position model. The record is from RNAcentral.